This 663-nucleotide long non-coding RNA is filed under the name Setaria viridis. Its description in RNAcentral is "long non-coding RNA (SVIR_LNC008177)". The record is from RNAcentral. Lineage: Eukaryota; Viridiplantae; Streptophyta; Magnoliopsida; Poales; Poaceae.
UUGAAGCCCGGUCCAUGUAAGAGCCUUAUGAGCCCAAUUUUAUUGGGCCAUUUUUAGCCCAUUUUAUAUUUUCGUGCUAUUUUUUGGGCCGAAAAAUAUUUGUUGCACUUCAUAUUGGACCGUUUUUUUCUAGGCCCUAGCACAUCUAACGAAGAGCCAUUAUUGCAUUUCGCAGUACCAUAUUGGGCCCUUUUUUCUGGACCCUAGCCCAUUAUUGCAUUUCGUAGUGCCAUAUAUUCAAUUUUGCCUGCUAAUCACUAUCACAACCACAGACAUAAAAACAACUCAUUUUCAACUUCCAUAUUGUUCACAUCCCAAUUAAUGAAUAGCUCACCAGCAAUAAUAAUGCAACAUACAACAAAUUAAGCAUCAACAAUGCAACAUACACAAAAGUUCAUCAGCAACAAACAACAAGUUCACAAGCAACACACUUCAUGAGGGAAGGAUUCACCCGGCUCUGACUGAUGCUGAAGUUUAUCAGCUAGAAAUCAGAGAAUGCAACUACUUUGUGGUGUUCUUCAGAGCUUUGAGCUCUUCUGUCUGAGACUUCAAUGUUGUUUCUUGUGUUUCAGCCCUCAAUCUCAGUGCACCCAUCUCAAACUCCUAUUCACCAAUCUUUUACCAAAGUUGUGGCCCCUUGUUUCUCACUCUCAAGAUCAACUU